RNAcentral lists this ribosomal RNA (253 nucleotides) under uncultured bacterium. RNAcentral describes it as "partial 16S ribosomal RNA". It matches the Rfam family "Bacterial small subunit ribosomal RNA", at positions 524 to 776 of the family's 1533-position model. The record is from RNAcentral.
UACGGAAGGGGCUAGCGUUGUUCGGAAUUACUGGGCGUAAAGAGCGCGUAGGCGGCUUACCAAGUUGGGGGUGAAAUCCCGGAGCUCAACUCCGGAACUGCCUUCAAAACUGGUAGGCUCGAGUCCGGAAGAGGGGCGUGGAAUUCCCAGUGUGGAGGUGAAAUUCGUAGAUAUUGGGAAGAACACCGGUGGCGAAGGUGGCGCCCGGGCCCGGUACUGACGCUGAGGCGCGAAAGCGUGGGGAGCAAACAGG